Molecule: unclassified non-coding RNA, 4101 nt
Filed under: Leishmania donovani
Lineage: Eukaryota; Euglenozoa; Kinetoplastea; Trypanosomatida; Trypanosomatidae
Description: gene:LdHU3.33.4460(CDS-product:hypothetical_prote in_conserved)
Source: RNAcentral
CUUCUCCUGAUCUUUCCGGCUUUCGUUUUCUUUUUUGACCUGCCACGAUCUCUAUUCCACUUCUUCUUGCCUCGUCUUCAUUGGCUGAAGCACUCUUAACUAGAUAGAAACACGACAUUCACGCCUUCUAUCCAUCCAGUAUCCCUCCUCCCUGUGCACAAGCACCCGGUUCCACUCGUUCCACGCCCUACCGCUCCCGCCCCCCCCCUUUACAGCCUCUCCUCACCUCCUACGUCUCUCCCCUGGCUGCGUGUCUUCAGAGCCCGUCUGUGUUGUUGUUUUCGUACGGUGAGUGUUUGUGACUCUGGGCUUGUGUGCGCGUGUACUUCUGCUUCCCUUCCUUUCGUUGCGUGGACUGCCUUCUCUCUCCUUGACAGCCUCUUCGCACGUGCGCGUGGGUGCGAUCGCGCUUGCAUAAAUAUCACUCGACCUCUGUGUGUGCACCAGCUCCCUCCUCUCCUCCUUCUCCCUUCCGUGACUCCGUCUGUGUAUGUGCGUGUGCGCGACUUCAUCGUAUUGGGCCGCCCCUCUUCUCUCCUCGUGUUUUCGUUGUUUGACCUGCGUGUUCUCCUCCUUUUCCUCUUUCUAAAUCCUGUUCUGCUUUCGGUUUCGCUGGAGUCUUCCUCACUCCUCAUCACACACACACACACACACACACACCUACCGCUCGCGAAGGCAAGCAAAACAGCAGCUGCAAUAAAGUUUGCUUGCCGAGUUCACAGAUACUGACACUGACACAUACACGCACACACAGUCAGUCUCCAGCCAUGAGCUACGGCGGGUACGAUCAAGGCUACGGCGGCGGCUUUGGGUGCAACAUGCAAGACUAUACUUACCAGCAGCAGCAGACGCUGCCGUACCAAGCGCAUGGCGGCUACAACCUGUACGGGCAACUUGAUGUACACCCUCCGCAGCAGAUGAGUGGCGUGACCGGCAAUGCUAAUGGGGCUUACCAAUACCACGGCUACACACAACCGUGCGGGGACGAUGCUCACUCGACGGCGCUGAAGUCGUCGAAAAGCUUCACGGGUCCCUCAGCUGACGUGGAACGCAAACAGAGCAGCGUGACACGCACCCGUUCCAUUGCCUCGCGCAGCAGCAAAGGCGGUGGCACGGGCAUGGCCCGCCACGGCAGCGUCUUCUUCGGAACCCGCGAGCGCGACACCCAAGUGGCCAUCAGCACUCGCGGCGGCAUGAGCGUGCGCGGCCUUGACGAGGAGGAAUUCGAGGAGUUAAAGCAGUACUACGGAGACAUGGCGUGCCGUAACGAGGAGCGGCGCAUGGACGGGCUGAAAGCUGUGCGGAGCUACCGUGGCGACAUCGAGGACGGAGAGGAUGUCGGCAAGCCGCGCCGCGUGACAAACCGCCGCAACGUGGACGGCCGCUCGGCGACCGGCUAUGGUGGCAUCAACUUCAAGCGCAAAGCAGCCAUGCGCAAUGGCGAGCAGUGGGGUGAGGUCGAGAUCCGCAACAGGCCGAAUGGCAACGGUGGCCGCUCGCGCAGCAUGGAGAGACCCGUCGUGCAGCAGCCGAUACCCGGGCCGAGCAUGUACAUGGCACCCGCUGUGCUCGAUGAGCCACCGGUGGUGCCGCAGAUAUACAAUCGGGAAGAUGUCCACUCUUAUAGCAACAUCAGUGACUCGUUUUCGGAGGCGGACGAGGGUGCACCGAGAGAUUUCGACUACUGAACAAACAACGAGGGAAAGCAGGAGCUGAGGAAGACACGCAGAGGACAAAAAUAAAGGUCCAGGAGAGAAACUAGUACUGGGGAGCCUGUCGACGCCCCAUAGAGUGUGUGGAGAGAGAAGAGAGCAUGCCUGCAUCGCCGAAGACACACGUACACGCAUGGGGGUGGGGCCUGGCGUCAUCGUUGCGAUCCUUCACUCGUCGCUUUGCGUGAAAGCGAGUGGGUGGGCGUUGCUGAUAGCCCGUCUCCCUCUUUCGAUCUCUUUGACCCGCGCUUCUGCUCCGUUUUUUUUUUCUUUGUGUGUGUGUGUGUGUGUGCUCUUUGCGUUUAUUUCUGCUCCUUUCAUAUUGCUUGUCGACAAAUCUUUUUCCCCUUUCCCCAUCGUGUGCAGUGUAUUACCUCCUCUCGUUCUUGGCCGUUUGUCGACUUUCCCUGGCUGAUUCGUACCUCACCUCGCCCUCUUCGGCGCACCCACUCCUACCUUUUCCUCUGCGCCUUCGCUCACCCUCUUUCUCCCUCCUCUCUCUCUGCAUUGUUUCCGUUUCUGUUUUCAGCUCUCUUCUUUCUGGUUUCUCUGUCCGCCCCGCUCUCUCUCUCCCGCCGGCGUCGUCGUCUUCAUGUUUCUUUUUUUGUGUUUCGCGCUCUUCUCCACCAAUGCAUUAUUCUCUUCGUGCCCUUUCCUUGUUAUCCCCCCAUCCUGUUCUCUUUCUCUUGCUGUGUGAUCUAUGCGCGUUACUUUUCUAUUGACUCUCUUCCUCCGCCCACGUUUUUGUUUUCUGUGUCCACUUGGUUGGGCUGGCGGGCGUUAUUGCCGACUCCUUCGUCUGCUGCCUUUUCUUGCUGUUCAUGGGGUUGCUACCCUACUGCUCACCCCCAUAUCCGAACCUACCCUCCGUCUUCCUCUCUGCAUUCCGACUGUUUUUGCGGCCGCAUAUGUGCACUGUUGUUUGCUGCUUUGCGUAUUCAUGGGGCGUGCUCAUGUAUGUGUUUACGUGUCCGACUUUUACGAGCGCGCGUAUCUUGCCCUAACUAGGCGUAUGUGUGUCUCUGGUGCCACCGCCUCCGUGUGCGUCUGUCUCCUCGUCCCCUCCGGCCCCUCUCCCUUACUUGCUUGUGCCUCUGACGCUUUUCCCCCUUGUUCACUUUUGCGCUGGUGCUGCAUUAUUUUCCCUUGGCACCCUGUUAGUUGCCUUUUCGAGACAUGCUUGGUAGAACACACAGACACACAUGUCCACUCUCUUAUGCACAUACACAGAAGGGUGGACCUGCUUGCAUCGACGGGCAGGUGGAUGCACACGCACGUACACAAACACAUACACACACACACACACGAAUGCGCGCGCACCUUUGUGCUAUGCUGCUUUUCCUCGCGUGUAUUGUUGUUGUCCACUUCCCUCCUUACUGUUUCCCUUGUGGGAGCAUGCAUCUUUUCCUCUCGCUUUUUUUUUGGUGCAUUGGUACACACCAGAUGAGGAUUGCUGUGCAACGGCAACAAAAAGGUCGACAGCUGCUCAUCGUUGUAUCUCUCCCCAUCUCUGUUUUCCUUUUUCGUAUGACCGCGGCAUCAUGUGAUGUCGGUAUGGGGAGGGGAGAAGAGGACAUGCGAGGGAGGCGGGGCUAGUACGGUGAGGCGUAUAUAUAUAUGUGUAUGUCUGUGAGGGAAGGGGGAGGGGGUUGAGAUUUUGACACCGCUCCAGCUGUGUAUGCAGGCAGGCGUGCGGAAUCGCCUUCAAGUUCGCCGAAAGGCGCAUGACUGUCUUUACCCCUCGCCCUCUACCCCCCCCCUCCGUCUUCCCUUUUCCCCUUUCUCCACGCUUCUGCGGCGCCCCUGUGUGAUUCAAAGUUGCCAUUUUUGUUUUUUUGUUGUUGUCUUUCGUGUCUUUUGCUUCAUCAUGCAUUUUUUUAUUGACUUGCGGUGCUGCCAUUAGAGUUCAGAAUAAGAAGGUGGAAAGCAGAAGAAGCAAGGGAAGGAUGGAGAGGUGGUACCCUCGCACAUGUUUGCCUGUGCAUGCGUCUGACCGAUCAGCCCCCCCCCCCCACAAACACACACACACACACACACCAGCUCAGGACCCGGAAGAGGCCCUCCCCCUCCCUGUUCAGGGAGAAAACGAACAAAGAACCAGAUCAAGCGUCGUUUCUUGUUGAGCGGAAGAGCGAAAAAGGCUGCCGUACAGAUGUGUGUCGGAGAGCGGCGCAGAAUGAAGAAUCUCACUGCGCUUCUCCUCUCACGCACGUUUUGAGAUCGACUUCGCUCCCCAAUGUAUAUAUAUAUAUAUAUAUACAUUCGUCUUGGCGGGGUGGCGCCCACAGGGUCGGCGCGUUAUUAUUUUUUUGUGAGUUGCACAUAUAUAUGCAUAUGUAUCCUUUUCCCUCUCUUUCCGCAUUUUCGGUAAUUUUCUCACACACUUCAG